GAUGGAAGAGGCUUCAGAGGGCACUGGGGCUAAUCCUAGUUGAAGCAGGAAUUUCUUCUCCAAAAACAUCUCCCAAAAGCAGACAUCCAGUCCCUGCCUGAACAACUCCAGAUGUUUGGAAAGUAACCAUGUCUGUCCCCCACCAUGGGUCCCUCUUCUUCAUCCUCUCCAGAUUCCACUACUGACUCUUCAGACUUUCUCUACCAUCCCCUCAGCAUUCCCAGUUCCCUCAACCAAGGACCAAGAAUAAAGUUCUUUCACUGUCAGAAUGAAGAUGACCUAGGGGCAGAUGGAGCACCGGCCCUGCAGUC
Molecule: non-coding RNA, 311 nt
Organism: Phascolarctos cinereus (koala)
Lineage: Eukaryota; Metazoa; Chordata; Mammalia; Diprotodontia; Phascolarctidae
Source: RefSeq, a predicted model, not a curated record